UGGUAACGUAUCUGGAAAGUGUCUACACUUUGGAUUAAAAUCCACUGAUUGCCGGAAGUGCAAUUAUAUCGAUGAAAAGGGUGAUGCCAGAGACGAACAUGACUGCCGACGAAAUUAUUUUGGAAGCUCGAAGGCAAUGGAACCAGCAUUAGCUGUUGAAAUGGUUAAGGACAUAGAGGAAAUGGGAUACAUGGUAAAUUCAUUGACAAUGGACGAUGACACCACUACAAUGGCAAGGUUGCGCCAAGAAGUUGACCAUGAUGUCAUUAAACGCAGUGAUUCCAACCAUUUUCGUAAAAACUUUACAGGAAAUCUCCUACAGUUGCACCAAAAACACAAAAGAAACAUAUCUACAUCUGUAAUAGAUUAUUUUGUAAAGGACAUGCUGUACGCAAUUAAACAAAAUAAAGGGGAUGUUGAAAA
Mytilus californianus (California mussel) is the source of this 423-nucleotide long non-coding RNA. RefSeq lists it as uncharacterized. The transcript is spliced from 2 exons. The record is from RefSeq and is a predicted model, not a curated record. Lineage: Eukaryota; Metazoa; Mollusca; Bivalvia; Mytilida; Mytilidae.